UGCUCCCUUCUGUAGACUUAGUGGGUGGACCGAUAUUGUUGAGGGCGGCACCCACUGAGAACUACUUGUUUUUACAGUAGUUCUCACGCCCUGUUGUUACCCCGUUUUUGCAGAGCCAUCGUCUUCGGCUGCUGCUGUUGCGGAUCAGGAUCGAGGCAAGGGCGUCGCGAGUUAGAGCUCUACCACUACAACAAAAGCGGUCUAUAGCGACACUUUUAAAUGUAGGUACAUGUCAAAAAAGUGCUGCUAGCUAAAAUUACCGACACUUUUAAAAAGUGUUGCUAUAUGUGGGGUCGGUAGGUAUAUAGUAACAGUUAAAGUGUGUCGCUAUAAUCUAAAAGAGUGCUGCUAAUUUACAAAUACUUAUUUAAGCAUUUAGCAACCGCCGAAACUCUAUCUCGUUGGCUGCGGUGGCGGAGGAGGACGACAGGAAAGGCUCUUCGUCUAGAAUUUCAAUGGAUUGAGUGAAGAGAGAAGAAAAGAUGGUAAUUGAUUUUUCUUUUUUUUUUCUUUUCUGUUUGUAAUCGGGUCCAAUGGACUGGAUGUGGUGGGUUGAGUAGAGUAAUCUUUUAUUUUUGGUUGGAUUGGGCUUUAUAUUUAGGCAUAAGUAGAUGUUUUUUUAAGUUUUAGCAUAAAUGGGACACUUACUCAAAAGUGUCUCAAACAUGUGUCCCUAUAACCUAAUUCUGUUGUAGUGUACCCGACGAGCCGAGCUAGAGGUGCCCCUACUGCAGGUAGUUGUUUUGUUGGAGUUUAUGUACAUACAGUUAUUUUAACUCGCUAGUGCGAGUAGUUUCGUAUUUUGGAUUUGAUGUAUGUAUAUGGAACUCAGUUUGUGUUUAGUUUCUGGUUCUUCUAGCAGCUCUAUACUACUGUUUGUAGUAUUGUCUGUUAUACAGGUACAGUUAUCGCUUCGUAUACAGGGGAAAUUUCUUUGUAUACGGCGGAUUUGUCGGCGUGCCCGGGGAUCGAGUAAUCCGGGGCGUGACAGCGUAUAUAUUGCUAAUCCCUAUAUCAAGCAGCCAUAUUCGCGAUAAGCUCGACAUGGUCAAACCCAGCAUUUCAAAUCGAAUCCUUUUUAUUGGGUUGAUUGAGCAGCCAUCUUCGUAAUAGGCUAGGCAUGAUCAAACCCGCGCACAAAAAAUAAUAAAACAAAAAAACAACAAAUAAUUUUAAAAAUGAGCAUAUUGUGAUUUGCCAUCUUCGUGAUAGGCAUUGUUCGAACCAUUCGUCAUCUUCAUGAGAGGCACGGUUCGACUCGAUCAAUUUGUCAUCUUCGUGAUAGACAUUGUUCGAAUCAUUUGCCAUCUUCGUAAUAGGCAUGGUUCGACUCGAUCAAUUAGCCAUCUUCGUGAUAGGUACUAUUCGAACUAUAUGCCAUCUUCGUGAUAUGCACGAUUUGGCUUGAUCAAUUAACCAUCUUCAUGAUAGACACUAUUCGAACCAUAUGCCAUCUGUGUGAUAGGUACGGUCCGAUGUGACCACAUUGUCGUGAUAGGCACAUGUUCGAUCAAAUUGCCAUCUUCGUGAUAGGCAUUACUCAAUUUAAUCGAACCUAAUGUUUAGGACGGGUUGUCUAAGCGACGUCCUCUGAGUGCAACAUAAAGAUUGAUGAUUCAUGAAUUUGGCAUUGAUUUUAGACCGGACCAAAUCAAUUCGAAUUGAAUCCGACAUGAAAAAAAGGAACUGUUUAGAAUUAAUUAAUUCAUAAAUUUAAAGGAGCCUAAUCUACAAUUCACUUAUGUGCUCAAUGAACAAAAUCCAACAUACAAGGCCCAAAUAUCAUAGACUCAACCCAUACGCAGUCCAUCAACAAAACUAAAUUCAAUCCAGCCCAAAACCUGAAUCCAGCCCAUAUACAAUGCAGAUUCAGUCUAUAUACGGGCCCUGCAUAUAGCCCGUAUGCAAAUAUAUAUAGGCCCAAUCUACUCACGGGCCCUGAAUCCAGCUCGUAUACAAUGCUGGCCCAGUUGCUUAUGGAUUGAAAACCCAGUCCACAUAAAAAUAAAGUCCAGUCUACAUAUGGGCUCCAAAUUUAGCCCACAUGCUAAUAAAGCACAAAAUUAGAUUCAGAACCUAGUCCAUAUAUAAAUAUAUUCCUUGAUUCAGUCUAUAUGCAAAUUCGGGUCCAAAACCCAUAAAACCGAAAGUCCACAAUAAAAUCCAACCUAAUCUAGUGCGGCUUAUCAAACCAUCAAAACCCAAGAGCAUAAAACCCAAAACGACCAAACCCGUAUCAUCCAAAAUGCCUUCAACCCAAACAAAAAAAAAUGGGCUUCCAAAUGCCUUCAACUCAAACAAAAAAAUGGGCUUCUAUCACGAACUAAUUUCAUGAAUCAAAAAAGAGGUGCUAUCAUGGACUACCUUCAGGAAUCAAAAAUGGGAUUUCAUCAUAGGCUCAUAUCAUGAACUAACUUCAUGAAUCAAAAAGGGAUUUCUAUCAUGAGCUAAAGAUAGCUUUCCGCCAUAAUGAGCUUUCAUCAUAAACUCAUAUUGUAACGACUCGAUCCGGUAGCAACAAUAAUUCGUUGGGCCCAAACCAUUGGCCUAAAAUGCUUAAGCCCAGUUAUUAUUACUAGUAUGUAGGCUUCAUAUAUUCUAAUCAAAAUUAUUUUUCCAUCUGAUGUGGGGCUAUUGGGGAGUUUGUGGAAUCAUUUUUCUAUCUGAUGUAGGACUAUUGCGGCGUUAUAAACUCCCCUUGUUUAGACCCUGAUCCGAUGAGAGACUAUUGGAAAGUUCGUGGAAUCAUUUUCCUAUCCAAUGUAGGACUAUUGCAGCAUUACAAACUCCCUCUGUUUAGACUCUGACCUAAACCAAAUCACAGAUGCAGACCAGAAUUACCAAGCAAUAUGAGAUUCUAGAGGUGGCUUCUACGGGUUCAAGAGGUGGUUCCCAUCAAACCCAUUGGUGUAGCACUUUGUCCACCAUAGCACUUAGCUCUCACACUUCCGGUUGACAUUCGGCUCUAAUGCCAAUUGUAACGACCUGAUCCGCUAGCAACAAUAAUUCGUUGGGCUAAAACCACUGGCCUGAAAUACUUAAGUUAAGUUAUUAUUACUAUCGUGUAGACCUCAUAUAUUCUAAUCAGAAUCAUUUUUCCAUCCGGUGGACUAUGGGGGAGUUUGUAAAAUCAUUUUUCCCACCGAUGAGAGACUAUUGGGGCGUUACACAUAUGAACUAAAUACGGAGUGCCUUCAACCAAAUUGUAAGGGUUCGAUCUAAAUCAAAUCCCAACGGGUUCUGACCCAAAGUAUAGCGAUUCAGCCCAAACCAAUCUAAAAAAGGCCAAACAAGCCUAAGGUGGCUCAACACAAAUCAAAUACAAGGGGAUCAAAUUAAUUCAACCUGAACUCAACUAGAAUGAUCCAAAUAAAGUAAACCAAAGAUUAAGUAAACCAGCUCCGCUCGAACUGAAAUAGAUCAACGGUUCAGACUGAGCUGAAUCAAAUUAAUCGAUCGAGUCAACUGAAUCAACUCACAAGCCAGAUUUAAAUGACUGCAAAGUCUUUAUACUAAGCAACCCAAAAUCAAAUGACCACAAAGUCUUUAAACUAAACAAUCCAAAUUCAAGUGCGCAAGACGUUAAACUAAGCAAGUCAAAAUCAAACUCUACUCAAAUCGACCACCAUAUCUUUAAACUAAGCAUCUCAACUUCAAGCUGACCACCGCAUCAUUAAACUGAGCAACACAACUUAAACUAACCGCCAAGUCGUUAAACUGAGCAAACGAAAUUCGAACUCAAAUUGACGGCUAAGUCGUUAGUCUGAGCAAAUUAAAUUUAAACUCAACUCAAUUUAACCGCUAAAUUGUUAAACUGAGAAAAUUAAAUUUAAAUUCAACUCAACUCUACUGCUAAGUCCAUAAACUGAGUAUUAAUGCUUUACAAAAUUCAUGUAAAGUGGGGGUAAUGCUUUACAAAAUUCAUGUACAGUGGGAGUAUGCCUCUGCUUAAGCCAUGUACAUAGCAAAUCAUAUUAAUAAAAUUUUAUCUUCAUGCUUUGGUCUCGUUUAUUAUCAGCAUUCAUGUUCGGUCUCUUAAUCGAAGGUUCCUUAAUACUGUCAAUGUGGAUAAUUAACAGCAGAUUCUUGAACCUGCUGGAAGCCAUUAACCAACAAUCCUGAUUUCAAGACAAAACUUAAAUAAAUUUAAUCUGUACCAUAAAUGACCACUCGUCGGAGAAAAGCUUGCGGCGGGGCCGCUUCGUUCGUGGCGGCAGACAUGCUGUAAAAGGAAGUCUUCUCCUCCAUUUUAAUCAAGCCAAAUGAAGGCCAAUUCAAUGGCCAUAUUAUUUGAAGGUUCUGAUGUUUAAGUCCUUUUUGUCUCUUAUUUUCAGUAGCCUUCUAUUACUUCUCUACCUAGUACAAGUCAAAAAGAAUUUAAAAGGAAAAUGCGGCACUACAGGUUAAAGUAGCCAACCAACUAAAUAACCUACUCAUCUCUUCACUCUUUCUCCUAGAUCUGAACCACAUAAAUUAAUAUUCACUACAUAAACUAAUAGGCAAGAACUAAAUGUGGUAUGAAUUACAAAAUUCUAUUCAAACAUUAAUCAUACUAAACUACUCAAUGUAUAGCACCAACUAGAACAAACUUCUAAUCUGUUGCUAUUGUUGAUGCAGGAUGAAAUUGGAAUCUUAAAAUGAACUUUUAAGUCAUUUAAGAUUCAAAACUUAAAUUGAUUGAGAGUUACGAUCUCCAAAUUAUGCUCAAGUACCUUCUUAAGCUGACUUCAAGAACCCGAAAGGAGAAAGGAAGAAAUGAAAAAAAUGAUAAGAAAAAAGUGGAAGUACUUGAGCAGAAAAACAAAAUUGAGCAUAUAUUUUAAGGAUUUUGAAGCAUCUAAUUUGGAAAUGGUCGAAAAGCCUCUGAAUUUGUUCACAGCUUUAGUUUCUUUCUACACGUUUUCUUCUAAAUUUCUCUCAGCAAAUCUUUAGCCUUCGUUUGUAUAGAUUAAAAAAGAAAAAACCAGCUUCAUUAUCUGGAUCCACAAAAUUGAUUCCCUACUUUCUGCAGGGGUCUGACAUUUAAGAAGCAACAUGAAAUAAUUGAGAGGUCAAGAAGUAUAGUUUUACGUUAAAAAAAGCCGUGUUAAAAGAUUUAAGAACAUUUAAAGUAUCAACAACAUAAAGAAUAACAAUGAGUAUGAUACAACAAUAACAAUAAUGAACGAUAAAAGUAAGUUUAUAAUUAGUAUUAUAAUUAAUAGAUAAAGGAUGAUAAAGGGAAAAAAAGAAAAGAAAGGAAGAGUAUACAUAUAGAUCAAAACUAACUCCUGAAAGUUAUAGGAUCCACGUCUAUAGGAUUAACAACUUACACCUUCAUUAUGAGAUCACGCCAGAAAGCAGAAUGCAUCUUUAUUUUGAAAUUCCUGAGAGUACAAAACUGUAUGUAAUUAAAUAGUUUUCCAAAAUAACUGAAAUACCUCUCAGCAUCCUUGUAUUGAUUAACUCUAAGGUUGGAAUAAUGAUCUUGUAGAUGAAAUCAGGAAGAAGAUUCACGGCACAAAGCAAGGGGAGAUGACUAUUGGAUAGUAUUUCGCAGCAUGGAUUUAAGUGCCGUGGCAAGGGGUCAUGCUGGAAACUUGCCAGCACGGUACGGCACGGUGCGUGCAGGUAACAAAAAAUACAUGUGUGCUGACACAUAAUGACAUGAAAUAUUUAUUUUCUUUAGCACACUACAACAAAAACGGUCUAUAGUGACACUUUUAAAUAUCGGUACAUGUCAAAAAAAGUGCUGGCUAAAUUACCGACACUUUUAAAAAGUAUUGCUAUUUGUGAGUUUGCUAGGUAUACAGUGACAAUUAAAGAGUGUCACUAUAACCUAAAAAGAGUGCUACUAAUUUACCAAUACUUAUUUAAGCAUUUAGCAACCGUCGAAACUCUACCUCGUUGGCUGCGGUGGCGGAGGAGAACGAGAGGGAAGGGCUCUUCGUCUAGAAUUUCAGUGAAUUGAGUGAGGGGAGAAGGGAAGAUGGUAAUCGAUUUUUUUUUUUUCUUUUCUCUUUGUAAUCGGGCCGAAUGGACUAGGUGGGGUGGGUUAAGUAGAGUAACCUUUUACUUUUUGUUGGAUUGGGCUUUAUAUUUAGGAAUUAAUAGAUAUUUUUUUAAGUUUUGGCAUAAAUGGAACACUUACACAAAAGUGUCCCAAACAUGUGUCUCUAUAACCUAAUUCUGUUGUAGUGGCAACAAAGUUUUCUAGCGGUUUAUUAUGUAUCAUUAUCAAAUUUUUUGAACUUUAUUUGAGAUAAUUACUUAGUAAUUUGAAGAAUACAGGGUUUUGAGAUGUGCCAUCGGCACAGGGGGUUGUAUUGUGCCGAUAUUUUGUUGGCACGAUACCACACGAUAGAUACGGCCUGUGCCGAUGGGCACUUAAAUCCUUGCUUCGCAGUGUCUGCUAGUCUGUAGUAGGAGAUGGACUACUAUCAAGAUAUCCACAGUGGCUGCACAGGAGAUGCAAUCAAGUUUCAGAGGGUUUAAGAUUUCUCGGCUGGCCUACAACCUGAAUUUGAUCAAAUCAAGUUCAUGUCUAGGAAAGGAUCCUUUCCUGUCAGUACGGAAGACAUGCAUUUGUAGAGCAAGAGGAGAGCAGAUACCUGAUAAGUUAGCCUUGUUCAUCAAUUUCUUCCUCGAAGAAUGUAAAGGGAAAUCGGAUUAGAGGAAUUGAUAAAAGAAUGGCCAAAAAGAUCAGCAUAAAUGUGAUCACUGUGGGAGAACUGAACACACUUCGUCGACUGAUGUCUAAGCUUGCUUCAAUUCUACUUUCUCCACUAUCCAAUACUGCCACUGCUAAUUGUGCUUUGUUAGAUAUAGCUAUUAGUGCUUCUAGUUGCACGCGUAACAUAUUUCUCACCUCAAUUAUUGAUAGUUUAUUGGAUCAUUUCUUAUCCUACUUUCCUUCUUUAGGUUAGGAAAAAAAAAUUCAUAUUGCUAAUGGUUCCUAUCUUCUAUUUUUGGGAAAGGUUCCAUAGCAUACUUCUGAUCUAACCUUGUCCUCUAUUCUUCACGCUCCUAAUUAUCCAAACAAUCUUUUAUAUAUAAAUGUAAUAACUAGGGAUCUUAACUAUAACAUGAUCUUUUUUUCUUUUCAUUGGGUUUUUUAGAAACUGGAUAUGGGGAAAAUAAUUGUCUGUGGAAAGAUGCAUGAUAGGCUUUAUCUCCUAGAAGAAGGAACAGAUUGAUUAUAUAGAGUUAUAGACAUCAUUCUGCUCUCCCGAUUGAUGCGACAUCAGCCUGUCAAGAGAUACACCAAUAGCAUCGACGACUUGGUCAUCCUUCCUUUAGAAUAUUGAAACAAAUGAUUCCUCAGUUGUUUCAGCACUGUAAUCUUGAACGUUUGAAGUGUGAUGCUUGUAAGUACAAGCUAUUAAUUUCAAAACCUUACUUAAGAUAUUGUUAGGUACCUCUAAUUACAUUAUGCCUCUGAAAUUGUUUGAAUUUGCUUGUUUUGUACAUGUCACCGAAGGACAAAUGACAAACUUGAUCCUCGGGCCAUGAAGUGUCUUUUCAUUGGGUAUUCUGCUUCUCCAACGAGUUACAAAUGUUAUCACCGCAUACAAGGAUGACAUUCAUCACUAUGGAUGUUAUCAUGUUACCUUCAAGGAGCAUGUGGCCUGUUAUCACCGAUCAUCUCUUUAGGGGAAGAGUCAAUUUAAGAAAGAAGAGACGAAUGUUGAUACGACCGUUUAUGUUCCCAGAUGGACGUCAACACUUGAACUACGACAAAAUGAGGGAGAGAGGGAAAUGAUAUUAAGGGAGAGGAAUAGAGAAAUGAAAUCGAGUUGGGCGGGGAGAGAAAUGGAGUUGAGGCAGAGGGAGAGAAAGAUGAAGUUAAAGGAAAAAGGCAAAACAAUAUUCUGAGGAGACAGAAAAAAAGUGAUUGUGAAUAGCAAGCAUACACUUGAAAACGAAGAAAGUAUAAAUCUAUCAUGCACUCCUCACCUAGCUAAGAGCUCUCUCCGGAUCCAAUUCUUUUUAUCUCACCUCUCUCCAAGCCAAGAGCUAUCUACAUACCUAGUUCUUUCUUCUCAAUCUCCUCAAAGUCAUUGUCCGUCUCUUGCUCAUAUGAAGUCUUCCAAUUUUAAUCCUGUGAGUUCGAAAUCACUCUAAACAUCCAAUUUCUGAUCGACUUUGUUUUAUAUGCGCCAUUAUCUCCUUUGUAUAGAGCUUUUAUGUCAUCCUUGUCUUCUAUCUACAUUCUACAGAAUUGGAUGGAGGAACUUGUAGAUUCCAAGUGAAACGAAGCUAUGUUGAGGAGAUGAAAGCUUAGCGAAAUGAGACAUGGGAACUUGUUGAACUAUCUACUGGAAAAAGACUCGUCGGAUGCAACUGGGUUUUUAUUGUGAACUAAGCAUAAGGUAAACAUACAAGUCGAGAGAUAUAAAGUCAGACUUGUCACAAAAAAGUUUUACUCAAAUCCAUGGAGUUAAAUAUCAGGAGACUUUUGUUCCCUUUGCAAAACUAAACUCCAUUUGCAUUCUCCUAUCACGUGCUGCAAAUCUUGAAUGGGAGUAACAACAAUUAAAUCUGAAAAUUGCAUUUCUACAUGGUGACAUAAUGGAAGAAGUGUAUAUGGAGGUUGGUUUCUCAUCACAAAAACCAAUAGGGAAAAUGUGUGAAUUAAAAAAAGGUGCUAUAUGGCUUAAAGCAAUCAACAAGAGCUUGGUUUGACAGAUUUAGCUAAGCAAUGCCAGCAUUUGGGUAGAAGCAAAACAAUCCUGAUCAUAUACUAUUUACUAAAAAGAUGCAAUCAUAAAGUUGUCAUUCUCAUUGUUUAUGUUGAUGAAAUAGUGGUAAUUGGAAAUAAUGCAAUUGGAGAUGAACAAACUCAAGAAUUAUCUUGUACAAAAUUUUGAGAUAAAGGAUCUAAGAAAGUUGCAAUAUUUUCUAGGAAUUGAAGCGGCGAGAUCAUAAACAGGCAUAUUUAUAUCACAAAGAAAAUACAUUUUGGACUUGCUCCAACAAACUGGUAUGCUUGGAUGUGGACCAGCAGAUUCACCUACUGAGGCAGACUCACCUACUGAGGCAAAUCAUCGAUUGAAGGGUGAAUUAAGUUGGCGAAUCUAUUGAUUAGAAAAGGUAUCAACAAGUGGUGGGUAGAUUGGUUUAUAGGUCUCACACUCGAACUGAUAUAACAUGUGUGGUGAGUGUAGUUAGUUAGUAUAUUCUGCCUCACUUGAAGACAAUUUGUCGUAUUUUGAGGUACUCAAAAUCAUCUCCCGGAAAGUGGACUUCUCUUUGCAAAUGAUAGUCAUUUGAAAAUUGAAGCUUUUACAGAUGCAGAUUUGGAUGGCUAUCCAAAUGACGGAAGAUCUAUUUGAAGAUACUACACAUUUGUAAGAGGUAAUAGUUUAGUCACCUGGAGAAGUAAAAAGUAGAGAGUUGUUGUCAGAUCAAAUGCACAAGCAGUGCAUAGAGCUAUAGCAUAUGGCUUAUGUGAAUUGUCGUGGCUUAGAAAAAUUAUGCGUUAGGAUUGACAAAUAUCAAGCCACUAAUGUUUGCAAUGUGACAACAAAGGUGCCAUCAACAUAGCCCACAAUCCUGCACAACAUGAUAAGACAAAACAAAUUGAAGUUGAGUUGAAUUUUAUCAAGGAGCUGGAGAAGGGUAUCAUCUGCAUUCUGUUUGUGAAGUCACAGGACCGAACAGCAAACAUUCUCACUAAAGGACCUAGGAGUGUUUUAUUUAACGUUUUGUAUACACGAUGGGCAUAAGAAAUAUAUAUGCUCCAUUUUGAGGGCAGUGUUAGUUUAGUAUAAUUCCAAUCUUCUCAAAGACUUUUACGUAAAAAUGCAUUAUAAAUUAAUUAGUUUAGAAUUGCAGGUGUAAAAUCCCCUAAAACUCUUUUCCUCAUUCUUUUCUCUAUUAACUAUCAAGUUACAACAUGGUUAAGAAACUUUAGAGCUGUUACGACAAAAGCGGAAAAUAUUUAGUUUGUUGGGCACAAAAAUACCAAAAGAAAACCGAGAAGUAGAGAAGAAAAAUAAAUCACAUAAUUAUUUACAUGGUUCGGCCACGCAAGCGAAGACGAAGUACAAACUUUAAUUAUAACCGAAAGAGAACUGUACCCUCAAAAGAGAACCCAUACUUUUUCUUAUCUGCCGUACCAAAUCAAUAAAAUAAAAGGUAUAUGUAUUUUGACUAAAAUCUAAUGAGAAUAGGAAUAAUCUCAAAAAGAUAAUUAUAAUCUUAAGUUAACUUAAUGGGUUGACUAAAAUAAAAUAAUGAUAGAAAAUCUUCCGAUUCUAUAAUUCAAGACACAUCUAACAAAUGUUUUUUUUUUAAAAAAAUCUUCAAACACACUCCUGUGGUUUAGCGCUUUCUCACUUUAGUACCCUGUGAUUUGAAAUGCAUCACUUUAGUAUCCUGUGGUUGCAUUUUUCUCUCUCUGUUGCCCCCUCUAUUUAGCAUUUUUAUUAAACCAGUGAUAAAAUUAAAACCACAAGGUACUAAAGUGAAAAGCUAGUAAACCACAGGGGAGUAUAUGAAGUUUUCUCUUUAUGCUUUAACAACAAAGUUAACAAAAGGGCUGACAAAAAGAGAAAAAUAGAACCUUAGGAUAAUAAAGUGAUACACUUUUAAACCACAGGGUGUUAGAGUGAGAAAGAGCGCAACCACAGAGGGGGUACUUGAAGUUCUCACUAUUUUCUUGGCUGUACAUUUGGGGUGAAAGGCCAUCGGUUAUGGUACCCUGAUCCCAAAGCAUCUAAAUUUCUUAUUAGUAGGGAAGUUACUUUUGAUGAGUCUACUAUGUUUCACCUGAAAAAAGAGUCUUUUGUUGGCACACUUUUGAGAAAGUGAAGACCGUUAAGAAACAGGUUGAGUUUCAGAUUAAUGACUCAAUAUACCUGCAAGAAGUUCUGUGAUGCUCCAACUUCCCAAGGGGUCACCUAAAAUGCUUAAGCCGGGUUAAGAGUUUUAGCCCUAUUAUAUCGUAUAUAUAGGACUAUCUGGGGUUUCACAUACUCCCCCCAUUUAAGUCCUGACGUCCUCAUCAAACUCAGACUCACAAGUACCUGACAAUGUGAGACUCGUCUCGUUAGCCUAAACCGACCUUGUGGUGAGCUACGCUCCACCCACAAUACCCAACAGCAUGGGAGCUCUAUUAGAAAUUGUAUUAAAUAAAUAAUAUCCGUCCAAUUUAUUUAAUUUUUAAAUUAAAUAAAAAAUUAAGUAUAUUGUCUCAUCUUUUUAGAAAUGGAUGAAAAUCCUUUUCUGCUUUUGAAAACUUCUAUUUAUUCUAUUUUUUAAAUAGAAAAUAAUAUUAUCUCCUUGCAUCUUUUUUUAAAAAGAUUAAAAAUGCUCUCUUCACCUACGGUAGAACAAACAAAAUUUAACUAUUUUUUAUACAAUUAUAAUAAANUAAUAUUAUCUCCUUGCAUCUUUUUUUAAAAAGAUUAAAAAUGCUCUCUUCACCUACGGUAGAACAAACAAAAUUUAACUAUUUUUUAUACAAUUCUACUAAAGAUUUAGAAAUUAUUGAAUAUAUAAAUAUCACACUCAAUCUGAAUUAUUUUAAAAAAUAUAAUAUUCUUUUUCAAAUAUAUGUAUACGUGCAUUGCACGUACACUUUGCUAGUGCAUACAAAUACAGAUACAUAUAUGUAUAUGUAUCCAAAUAUAUGUACCAUUUGUGUAUAUAUUGUUGAAAAAUUAUCUUUCUAAAUCUUUAGUAGAAUAUUCUUUUAAAUAAUUUUUGAAUAGAAAGAAUAUAACUUUAGUUUUGAAAACCGCAAGUAAAAAUUAAACAGUUACUACUAUAGAUAUUAAGAGGUCAGAUGAGGCCUGUGAGUCGAGGCGUGUGAAAGCAUUGUCUUAGAAGCGAGAUUGUCCCUCCACGUGCGAGGCUUUGACAAUCACUCCUAGCGAUACAAUGACCACUGCCCACCCCGUCGGCAUAUCUUCAGGAUGGCGCAACACGAACCCAAUAAACUUUCAGAGAUCCAGCAAAAAUGGCAAUGUGAAGUUGAGUGCAUAAUAGAUGUAAAAAUCAGCGUGAAAGAAGGUGAGGAAGAAGAGUAUUUUGCAAGCUCGGGUUAUGUCUUAUGCACCAACACAAGUGCACCUUCACUUACAUAUUGGAGAGAUUUAGAAUAGUUCAAUGGGAAAAUCCUGGUCAAGAUCUAGCUCCUUCCCGAGGUUGGACUAAGAUAUGAUUCCUUUCCGAAGUUGGACCAAAUCUGGACAAUAUCCAGAUUAGAUCUAGUCAAGAUCUCGUAUGGCUCCUUCCCAAGGUAAGGCCAUCAUUGGAUAAAAAUAAAAUAAAAAGAAAAAAGUGUAAAUGAACCGAGUUCACGCACGCCGCCACCCGGCCCGGCUCGUGCUCGUGCUCGUGCGUUUAGUCGAGAGCUCCACUCUCAUGUUCUCCCAAGCAACUAAAGUUGAGAGUGAGAGUGUAUAUAAAGUGUAGUAAAAUGCCUUUGGUUUCCAAUGUGGAACUAAACUUCACAUGUGGAAAUUAAGGCACGGGCUCCCAAGUAAGACUACAGAGAGUUGAGCUGCCCAGGAAGCCCAUGGACCAAAUUCAAGUUUUAAAUCACUGUUUUAAAAAAUUAAAACUAACAUAUAUAUAUAUAUAUAUAUAUAUAUAAUAUAUAGAACUAGGCUGGAAUACUAUCAAUAGCACUAAGCUAUUGGUGCUAUUAGGUUUUUAGUCCUUGGAUUGAGAAAUGUGUGGUUACGCUAAUAUGGGCCCUCUAGGGUUGAGUGGGUGCUUGGUUGAAUAGUAUAAUCUAACGGGUAAAAAUAAUCAAAGGGGUUAAAUCUACCGAUGGAAAACUCGAUAGUACCAAGCUCUUGGUGCUACCGAUAGUAUUCCAGCCGGACUUCAUAUAUAUAUAUAGAUAUAGAUCUAGGCUGGAAUACUAUUAAUAGCACCAAUGACUUGGUGCUAUUAAGUUUUCUGCCCUUGGAUUAAAAGAUGUGUGAUUAGGAUGAUGUGGGCUCCCUAGGGUUGAGUGGGUGGUUAGUUGAAUGGUAUAAUCGAAUGGAUGAAAAUGAUAAAAGAUGUAAAUCUAACGACAGAAAACUUGAUAGCACCAAAUGCUUUAUGCUAUCGAUAGUAUCCCAGCCGGACUCUAUAUAUAUGAGCUAGGCUGGUAUACUAUCGGUAGCACGGAAGCCUCCGUGCUACCAAGUUAUUUUCAAUGAUACGGCUUUCAAAUCAACGAUCAACUCCAUUAGACUUGAUCUACACAAUUAAAAGUAUUUGGAAACUAAAUUUCAUAAUUUUUCGAUAUCAUUUAGCUAGUGAUUAAAAGGUCUCAAAAUUGACAAUUUUAAUAGUAGAUGUGAUGCGUUUGUGAAUUUAACGGUGUAAAACAAUCCAAAUCUGAUGAAAUUUUUAUAGAAAAUUCCUUUAACUAUUUAGAGUAAGAUCAGUACCUCUGAUCUUAAAUUCAAGUCUUUUAUCAUCAUUUUUUAUGAGAUUUUUAUUUUUAGCUGUUCAUUUUUAGGCUAUUCAUUUGAUAGGUAAAUGAUGCCGAAAAAUUAUGAAAUUUAGUUUCCAAAUACUUUCAAUAGUGUAGAUCAAGUCUAACGGAGCCGAUAGUCGAUUUGGAAGCCGCAUCAUUGAAAACAACUUGGAAGCACGGAGGCCUCCGUACUACCAAGUUGUUUUCAAUGAUGCGGCUUCCAAAUCGACGAUCGGCUCCGUUAGACUUGAUCUACACUAUUAAAAGUAUUUGGAAACUAAAUUUCAUAAUUUUUCGAUAUCAUUUACCUAUCAAACGAGUAGUCUAAAAAUAAAUGGCUGAAAAUAAAAAUCUCCUAAAAAAUGAUGAUAAAAGACUUAUAGAAAAUUCUUUUCACUAUUUAGAGUAAGAUCAGUACCUCUGAUCUUAAAUUCAAGUCUUUUAUCAUCAUUUUUUAUGAGAUUUUUAUUUUUAGCUGUUCAUUUUUAGGCUAUUCAUUUGAUAGGUAAAUGAUGCCGAAAAAUUAAGAAAUUUAGUUUCCAAAUACUUUCAAUAGUGUAGAUCAAGUCUAACGGAGCCGAUAGUCGAUUUGGAAGCCGCAUCAUUGAAAACAACUUGAUAGCACGGAGGCCUCCGGGCUAGCGAUAGUAUGAUGUACAUGUGUAUGUAUUUAUAUAUAGAGCUAGGCUGGUAUACUAUCGGUAUAUAUAUAUAUAUAUAUAUAUAGAAUUGAGCUAGAAUACUUUUAGAAGCACCAACCCCUUGGUGCUUCUAGGGUUUAAGCCCUUGGAUCUACUCCUUGAUUACUAGUAACCCUUGGAUUAAACACUAUUCCACCUACCACCACCUACCACCACCUAACACCAUCAUCCCAACCUUACAACUCUGAUCAUCCAAUGGCCAAAAACUCAAAAGCACCACCCUCUUGGUGCUUUUGAGAGUAUUCUAGCUCAACAAUAUAUAUGUAUGUGUAUGUGUAUGUGUAUGUGUAUGUAUAUGUAUAGAGCUAGACUGGUAUACUAUCGGUAGCACGGAGGCCUCCAUGCUACCAAGUUGCUUUUAAUGAUGCGGCUUCCAAGUCGACGAUCGGCUCCAUUAGACUUGACCUACAGUAUUGAAAGUAUUUGAAAACUAUAUUUCAUAAAUUUUUGGUAUCAUUUACCUAUCAAACGAGUAGUCUAAAAAUAAAUGGCUGAAAAUAAAAAUCUCCUAAAAAAUGAUGAUAAAAGACUUGAAUUUAACAUCAGAGAUACUGAUCUUACUCUAAAUAGUGAAAAGAAUUUUCUAUAAAAAUUUCAUCAGAUUUGGAUUAUUUUACACUGUUAAAUUCACAAACGCAUCACAUCUAGCAUUAAAAUUGUCAAUUUUGAGACCUUUUGAUCACUAGCCAAAUGAUGUCGAAAAAUUAUGAAAUUUAGUUUCCAAAUACUUUUAAUAGUGUAAAUCAAGUCUAACGGAGUCGUUCGUCGAUUUAGAAGCCGUAUCAUUGAAAAACAACUUGGUAGCACGGAGGCCUCCGUGCUACCGAUAGUAUACCAGCCUAACUCUAUAUGUAUAUGUAUAUAUAUGUAUAUGUAGAACUAGGCUGGAAUACUAUUAAUAGCACCAAUGACUUGGUGCUAGUAAGUUUCUUUCCUUACAUUAAAAGAUGUGUGGCUAGGAUAAUGUAGGCCCUCUAGAGUUGAGUGGGUGGUUAGUUGAAUAGUAUAAUCGAACGGAUGAAAAUGAUAAAAGAGGUAAAUCUAAUGGCAAAAAACUUGAUAGCACCAAAUGUUUCGUGCUAUCGUUAGUAAUCCGAGGUUAUGUAUAGAGUAAGGCUAUGGAGUUGUGAAAAGCACAAGACUUGGUCUUGUUAAACGUUUUUUACCGUUAAGAUCUACGCCUUUUUGAUCAUUUAAAACUCCGUUGUAGUAUACUUAUCAAAACCACCCCCACUCAACCACUCAGGGGCGCACAUCAUCCUUAAACCGCUACGAUCACUUAAUCAAUGCCAAAAAUCUACAAGCCAAUCCAAACUAACUUGGUAUUUAAAAGCAUAGGAGUCUUAAUUAUACAUAUAUAUAAUAACAUAUAUAUAUAUAUAUAUAUUAUAUGGUCCGGCUACUAUAUUCUAUUGUGAAAGUACGAUCGAGCCUUCGGUACCAUAAGUUGUUUUCGAUAUAAGCUUUCCGAUAUCGACGAUCCACACCGUUAAAGUUAUUUACGGCAUUUAUAACUUUCUAAAAAUCAAAUUUAUAAUUUUUUGACGAUCAUUUAUCUUAUGAUCAAGAGGUCACCAAAUUGACAAUAUUUUAACGGCCCGGUAAUGGGAAUACUUGCUAGUUUAACGGUUAUGUAAAAAGAUCGGAAUUUGUUGAAUUUUUGAUAGAAAAUUCUAUUCAUACAUAGUAUAAGAUGCAAUAACUCCGAUCUUGAAUUGAGAGGAUCGAUUAUUCUUUUUAUAGGACGUCGUUUCGAUUGUGACCGUUCAUUAUUUGUGCCCACUGAUGGACUUUAUUAUGAUUUCAGAAAUUUACGAUAAUUUAUUUUCUAGGAAGCAUGGACUCCUAUUACUAUAUAUAUAUAUACACACACGUAUAUAUAUAUAUAUAUAUAAUUAAGCUCCUAUGCUUUUAAAAGUACCAAGUUAUUGGUGCUUGUAGAUUUUUAGCCAUUGGAUUAAGAAAUAUACGGUUAGGAUGUUGUGAGCCCCCUAGGGUUGAGUGACUUGUUGGUUGAAUAGUAUAAUCUAAUGGUUGAAAAUGAUCCGAGAAAUAGAUCUAACGGUAAAAAACUUACAAGCACCAAGUGUAAAUAGUUACGUUUAACUUUAAGGUUGUAACAACUCAAAAGAUUAUCAUUAAGCACUGAAAAAUUACCUUAACCGAAGAUAAUUACUGUCCCAUAUAUAUAUAUGCUAACUCCACUUUUGUAUCUCCUCAACCCAACUGACCAUUAAUUACUGAUCAAUCUCCACUCUCUUCCAUGCUUCACAAUUAAUAUCCAUUUACAUAAAUACUCUGAUUGCAAAAUUUAAUUGAAUAAUGUUAUCCCUCUUUCUCUGUUCAAAAGGAAAAAAUGUGGAAAUGACCAAAAACAUUUUAAUUUAGUUAAGAUGAUCAACCAUGCAUACAUCAAUAUCACAGGACUUUAAUUAGAUGCAAUAUUAUUUAAAAAGGAUAGCAGGUAGUCUGCAUAUCCAUGAAUUUCAUAUACCCAAUGAUACAUGAGGAUACUAACCGUUCCUAGCGCAAGUGGCAAAAGACUUGAUAGUUGGUAUCCGAGGCCCCAAGUUUGAAUCCUAAUUGAUUUAUACUUUCAACUAAAUUUUCUAAUUGAUUUAUAUUUUCAGCUAAAUUUAUUUUUAAAAGAAAUAAACAAAGAAGGUAACAUGCUACCUUUUUCUCAAAAGAAAAAAAAAUGAUCCAUGAUCAGGAUUAAUUAACUUACAGAAACAAAAUGCAUAUAAAUUACAUUAGAUGCAAGAACAUACCAAGAACUGUAUUAGUUCUAAAAAUUUGCAAACAAGGAUAUUCGUCUAGCAUAUCUUCAAAGUAUAGUUAUGAAGCACUUACCUUUACCAACUGUAGACCCAGAUACUAAUACUUUGUUUGGAACUACAAUAAAAAGAAAAUUUUGGACUUCUAGUAUCUUCUUUUAGCUGUUUCCUCCUACAGCUGGCCAGUAGUAAGAGUUAGCCUACAUACGAAACUUCCUAAGAAUUGCUAACCAAUGAGGAGGAACUUCAUAUAAGCCACAGUCCAUAAGAAUUGCUAAGAUUUUUCUCGAAAGUAAAUGGCUCUCUCUCUCUCUCUCUUUCCUCUUACUUUUCCACCCUACUGUUCAGGAAACUCAAUUUCUAAAUAUAUGGGAGCACCAGCUCCGAUUAAUCCCCCAACUUUGUGAACCACCUUCCUCAACAUUCUCCUUUGCGUCCACAUCAUACGUACAUAUAUAGAGAGUGAGUCUAACUAAAUUUCACUUCAAGAGUCGAUCUCCUGAGGCUCAGAAAAAUCAGGUGGCAGAAGCACACAUAUAUAAGCGUACGUGUGUGUAUAUAUAUAUAUAUAUAGUAUAGUUAUAUAUAACAUGCACCAACAUGACAUCAACAUGAACAGAUGUGUAGUAUUGCCAAAUGCUACCUAGCUAGCUAGCUCCACGGCCAACGAUUAACACGAUAUAUAUCAACCACAAUAAACAAUCACUCUACGCACCUUAGACCUUGUCAGGAUCCCGAAUCGUAGAGAGCAGACGACAACACCCCGGCGAAAUUAUCCAGCAUUUGCGGCUAGAAUGCGUCGUCGAGCGCAUCGAACGGGCUGGCGCCAGCACGCGGGCCUCCGCGUAGAUCUACGACGUCGGGAUUGCCGCCGGCGUACGAAGAUCCGGGCGCGGCGUGGCUGCGGAAGGUAGUAGUAGUGUCGGGCUUCGAGGGGACAUCGUGGCCGCCGUCGGCGUCGGCCUCAGGGAACAGCGAUUGGUCGGGGAAGGUGGAGUCUUGGCCCGUGAGCUCCUGGACUAGUGCCCGGAACUCGGCCGGGUUGGCCGCCUUGACCUUCAUGGGGUUGGAGAUGUACACCACCUUGACGGGCUUCUUCAUCUUGCCCUUGUCAGAAUGCUGCUUGGGGUUCUUCCUGCCGUCGCCGGUGCGGAGCUUUUCCAUUUCUGAUUCUGAUGAUCAGCUUCAGUGGAGGGGGGAGUGGGAGGGGCUUGGCUUGUAAGGAGAGGAGGUGAAGGACGACUCAUUACUGUGGUUUUGGCUUCAGCAUACACACAAGGAGAAGAGCACACAUGAAAGGGGUACAUUUAAUUGAAUCUCGAAUAGUGAGAGGACGGGUUUCGUCGUGGCGGAGAUGGUGAUUCCGUAACAUGGAAUUGGGAAAGAAGUGGGAAAGAGUGGGGCAACAGAAAUUUACUGCAUGCACCCUGUGCAUGCACUCGGUGCACUGUGCGUCCUACUCUUGAGAAUUCUAUUAUGUGACAUAUCAUAAAGUAUCGCACGGUUAACCGUGUGUCGCCCGAUGAUAAGUCUUCUUUACUAAUACUUCAAGGAUUCUUAGGCGAUCCAAUGGUUAAAACAUUACAAACACAGAUGCGCAUGUACUUUUAAAUGCGCCUGGUCCGACUUAUAUGUUUUUAGAAACACGAUGGCUUCUAUACUAUCAAAUCAUUUUCAAUGCUGAGACUUCCAUAUCGACAAUCAGCUCCGUUAGACUUAACCAAGAAUAUAUUAGAUUUUAUUGAAUUUUUAUGAUUUAAAACUUGUUAAGACCUCUUGAGAGCCCAAUAAUUGUUAAUGGGCCGCUUUGGGAGCCCAACUAAAAUUUUCAUAUUUGAUGUUUAGUCCCACAUUAGAAAUCAAAAGGGUGUUUGUUUCUUUUAUAUAUUCUUUUAUUCUCAAACUAAUUGUUUGGAGAAAAAUGAGAGUAAUGUUCUCGUUUAAAUACACACACGCACGCAUGGCACGAGUCCGAGCCGAGCCGGGCCGAGCGGGUGGCGCGCGCGGUCCAUACACUCGAUUUAUUUUAUUUUUAUUUUGUUGGUUUUAUCUUUAUUUUAUAUCUUAUCUUUAUCUUUAUCCUAAUCCUAAUCCUUAUCCGUAUAAUUUUAGGCUUAUCUUGUUCUACACGGAUUUAACGCGUUGAAGCAAGAUUCUCACAUAGAUUAUAAAUAUGGGGUAAGGUUGCAUGAGUUAAUUAAUAAUAAUAAUAACCCGAGCAUAUCUAAAACCUCUCGUCUUUUUCUACUUUCUGAAUUUUCGCCGAAUUUUCUUUUGCUGGAUCUAAAGCUGGUUGGGUUCAUCUUGCACCACCUUAGAAGCAUGCUGACAGGGUGGAACGUGAUCGUUAUAUUGCUAGGAGUAAUUGCCAGAAAGUCUCGCACAUGGAGGGACAAUUUCGCUUCUAGGACAAUACUCUACACGUCUCGAUCCACUGGCCUUAUCUAAACCUUUUCUUUAUAGUAUUUGUUAUUUAAUUUCUUUCGCGGAAUAUUUCGAAACUUAUAAUUUAAAUUUUCGAAUUGGUUUUUAAAAGAAUAUUGUAAUAAAAAUUCAGAAAAAUUUUUCAAACAGAGUAUUGGAAAUAGCAAGAAAACAAAUUUCGUUCUUUUUUAUAUCAUUUAUUUAGUAAUCAAAAUAGCUCAAAAUCAACGGCUGAAAAUAAAAAUAUCACAAAAAGUAAUGAUAUGACACUAAAAUUUUAAAUCAAAAAUAUUGGUCGUAUUUUAUAUAGUGUAAAUAAUUGGGUAAACUUCAGACACCAUCCAUGUGAUUUCGUACGUUCUCAUUUUAGUACCCUAUAGUCUAAAGUGUAUCAAUUUAAUACCCUAUGGUUUUAUUUUAUUCUUUUCGUCAGCUCUUCCGUUAAUAUUUCGUUAAAUUAGAUACAAAAAACUUCAGAUACAUCACCUAGGUUUAUCGAAUAUUCACUUUAGUACCCUUUAAUUUUAAUUUUGUCACUGAUUUAACGAAAAAAAUUAGUGAAAUGAAUAAUUAAAAAUAAAAAUGAAAACAUAAGACACUAAAUAUGGAUAUUUAGUGAAGUUUUCCUAAGUAAUUUUCUAUCAAAAUUUUAUUUAAUUUGGAUAUUUCUACACCAUCAAAUGUGCAAACAGCUCAAUACAACCAUUAAAAUUGUUAAUUGUUAAUUGAUAUUGAAAAAUUACUGGACUUAUUUUUUACAUACUUUAAAUACUCUAAAUUGAAUCUAACGGAGCCGUCCCAGCAUCGAAAAUGACUUGAUAGCAUGAAAGUCACCGUACUUUUAAAAGGAUGCAAAUUUAACUUGCUCUCUCUUUCUCUCUCUGUAUAUAUACACACACUAAUUAUAGUGCACGUGCAAUGCACGUCACAUUUACUAAUUAAUUUAAAUUUAAAUAUAAUUUAAUAUAAAAUAAAAGUUAAAUCUGUUUCGAUUUAAAUUUAAAUAGUAAUUGGUGGCAUUAGUCUAUUUUUCAAUUAAUUAAUUUUUUAAAUUUGAUCUGUUUCGAUUUAUUUUUAGUUUGUUAAUUAUAAUUAUUUUUUUUAUAAUAUGUAUGAAAUAUUUUUUUUAUUUUAUUUAGGAUUUCGUUACUUCAUUUCUAUCCGUUUUUAUAUAUAGUAUAGAUAUAUAUUAGAAAAAAAAAAUCUUCUAUCCUAGAUACAAUGUUAGUACAGUGUGUAACGUGCAUUAAAAUAAUACGCCUAUAAAAGAUGCAUUCGAUGAUUUAUAUAUUAAAAGCGCGCAACUCAAAAUCAAAUUUAAUUUAGAAAAAAUUGUUUAUAUACCCCUGAAAAAUUUUCGACUUUUCGAUUUACCCUUCUUAGAAGACUAAUAUUAAAAAUAUCCUCUUUACGUUCCAACCUAUUUCUAAUAUAUUCCUAGAGUUAAAAUUUAUUAAUUAACUCUGUUAUCUCUAUAAAAUUAUUAUUUUGCCCUUUCAAAUAUACCCUUCCACCAUCACCGACUUUCUUAUUUGCCCUUAAAGUCAGGGGCACAAAAAAUAUUUUGACUUUUGGUCUUUUCCAAUAUACCCCUCUAUCAUCAUCAACAUUUCUUAUUUGAUUUUAAGUUAAUGGCAAAAUUGGUAUUUUAAUUUUUUUUAACUGUGAUAAAUAUUUAACUCACGUUUAACCCAAAUUAACUUAACAGGAGAUAACUGCGGGGGUAUUUUGCAAUAACGGUGGAACAUAUGAAGGGUAUUUUAAAAGGAAAAAAAAAUAGGAAUAAAUCAGAUAUUUUCAAAUAUAUGAGGGAUACAUAGACAAUUAUCCCUUUAAUUUAUUAUAUAAAUUUGUAAUUAUUUAAAAGACUUACACAUUAAAAAAAAAUCCUCGAUGUUACUAAGUAUGAAUUCGUGAAUUUGUAGGACUGUUUAAUUCAAAGUGUCUUGGUACUAAAGGUCAUUUAACUUAAGCUAUUAGGCCAAAAGAAGUUAGAGAUCAAAGCAUGCAGAGAGUGCCUUCUAAUUUAUUUUUUGUGAAACGGCAUAAAUUAUAUUCUGACCUAAUUUGCGCAAAUCUAAAAAAUAUAAAUUCUUUUAUAAAAAUAAAUUAUUAUUAUAUUUUACGCAUAUUCUUUGCGGUCCCAAACUGGGCCUAGGGUAAAAUAAUUUCAGUCAAAUGUUUGGAAAUUUUCAUAUAGAGGUUUUUUUAAUUAGACGUUAUUUGUUUACUUAAAUAUUUGGGGCAAUAUUCAAACUGUACGCACGGAUACGCCCGGUGCAAGAAAUACAGUGAGAGGAUAAUGCUGUAAGGAUACGAAAAGACAGGGAGUAGAUACGGCAAGCCAAGUGCUCGGAUCGCUUGUUGGGGGUGAACAUCGAACUUCAAUAAUUAUGCCACGUGGCUCGCUAAGAGCGGUUGAGAUCCUACGGAGGUGACGUCAGUCGUACGCAUGCCAGUAACAUACCUGUAAUAAAUGGGAUUUGGCUGUUGAAAUCAACUGCGCUUGGUCAGAUGUGCCCUCACGUGUCUAAACUUUUUAGUACUCCUUACCUCUGCAUGAAACUAUAUAUUUCUAAUAAAACUGUCUAAAAUAUCCGAUAUACUAUACCCGACUCGGACCCAAUCCGGAUACUAUCCAGAUCCGAACCGGACCUGAUAAAAAAUGGAUAGUAUACGGGUAAAAAAAAAAACUGAUUAAAGUUUCGGAUAUGGGUCCGGAUAUUUUAUACCCAUAUCCGAUUUGGACCCGACCCGAAUCCAACUUUUAAAUGGAUAGGGUCCGGAAUAGUUUUUAAAUUCGGACCCUGACCCGGACCCGGACCCGGACCCGAUGAAAUAUUUGAUAGUAAAUAAAAAAAUUGUGAACUUUUAAAGUUGAGAGAUCAAUUUUAAUAGGACUUAUCGACGAGGGAAAACAUUGAAACCCUAGCCGCUUUUUUACUAUUUUCUUUUUUCAAUUUUUUUUACUAUUUGUUUUUAACUCUUUAUUUUUUUUUUGUUUCAUUUCCGCCUAAGAGUUUUUUAUGAAACAAUAUUUUCAUCGUCGUCAUCAUUAGCGAUAUUAAUCCUUUACAAGUGUNCUAAGAGUUUUUUAUGAAACAAUAUUUCUAUCGUAGUCAUCAAUCUAUUUUUUUUUAAUGAAUAUUCUGGCCAGUAAAUUUUCUGAUUCAUCUUUAUUUUUUUUUCCUUUUUUUUUGAAUGUUAGUAUAUAAUAUUAGUAAUUACUACAACUUAUAUUCUCUUUAUCUGUAAUAUGCUAUCAUAAUUUUUUAAUUUUUGUAUGUUUACAUAUAAAAUUAUUUUAACUUUAGACUUUUAAUCAGUAAAUAUAAUGGCCGAAACAGAUUUUGCCCAAACAAUUUAAUAAAGUCUAUACAAAAAUAUAUAUACAGAUACCCGUACCCGACCCGUAUCCGGUUUUGAACGGGUAGUAUACGGAUAGUCACUACCCAGACCCGCUCAAAUAGACACCCAGACCCGCUCAAAUAGACCCGAUAGGUAUAUUAGUAACUUAAGUAUCCAGGUCCGGAUCCGACCCGAAGUUAAAUAGGUUUUUUUUUUUUUUUUUUUUUUUUUUUUUUUUUUUUUUUUUUUUUUUUUUUUUUUUUUUUUUUUUUUUUUUUUUUUUUUUUUUUUUUUUUUUUUUUUUUUUUUUUUUUUUUUCUAACCAUUUCUUUUUAGGGUACAGAUACAGUAUAUCUACUACCCAGACCCGACCCGGUCCACGGACACCUUUAUUUUCUAAGGAUAUGUUUGAUCCCACGUAAAUUUAUAAAAUUUUUUUUUAUAUUAUUUAGUGUUUAGUUUGUAUUAAAAAAUAGGAAUAAUUUUAUCAAUAUUCUUUUAAAAAAUCGUAAUUUCAUGAAUAACCCUCUAAACUAGAAAAUAUCAUCAAUACUCCUCUUAAAAUCAAAAAUAUUCACAGAUACCCUUUAGGGCGCAUUUGGUUCAAGUUAUAUAAUAUUACAGAGUAUUUCGAUAUACCCAGGUAUCUUGAAUUUUUAAAAGAGAUUACUCCUUAUACUGCAUUAGCGCGUUUGGUUUAAUACAGUAAUGUAAUGCUGGAUUGCAGUGGUUAUAGCAUUAAUAUGUUUGAUUCUAUCUAUAAAAUUCAGUAAUCUAGAUAAUAAAGUAUAGUCUAUUACAAAAUUGUCCUUAACCCAUAUUUUGUAAACUUUUUUUUUUUUACUGUUUACAAAUAAUAUUUACUAAAUUUUAUUUUUUUUAAAUAAUUUUUUUUAAAUUUAAAAANUCUUUUUGAUACCGGUGCAUCGCAUUCCUUUGUUAGCCGAGCAUUUGCAUAGUUACAUGGUCUAAAGUUAGAAGCAUUGUCUCAGGUACGAGAGGUGUAGAUCCCAGACCAUGUCUUGCAGGUCGUGGAGUGUUGUUGGUCAUGUCCAGUGCAGCUAGACUCGUGGAUUAUUCCCACAGACCUGUUGGUGUUAGGGCAGCUGCAGGACUUCGACGUCGUGCUCGGGAUGGAUUGGCUGGCGCGGUACUAUGCUACGAUCGACUGUGGAGCGAGGACGGUGACAUUCCGCGAGCUAGGCCAGGAGGAGUUCACUUUUAGAGGCUGCAGGAGCACGCUGUUUGUUACUUGGAUAUCUUCGGCGAGGGCUCGACAGAUGCUGAGCAGUGGGUGUAUCGCUUUCCUAGCGACAGUUGUGGAGGUACCUACGACGGCGUCGGGACUCGAGGACAUCCCAGUAGUCCGCGAGUUUCCGGAUGUGUUUCCCCCUGAGUUGACGACGUUGCCGCCGGAGAGGGAGAUUGAGUUUGUGAUUGAUGUAGUUCUUGAAACUGCACCAAUCUCGAAGGUACCUUAUCGGAUGGCGCCGGCAGAGCCGAGAGAGCUAAAGGCACAGCUUCAGGAUUUGAUGGAUAGAGGGUUUGUGAGACCCAGUGUUUCACCUUAGGGAGCGCCGGUGUUGUUUGUGAAGAAGAAGGAUGGUUCACUUAGGCUGUGUGUGGAUUACCGGGAGCUGAAUAAAGUGACCAUCAAGAAUAAGUAUCCCUUGCCGCGCAUUGAUGAUUUGUUUGAUCAGCUGCAGGGAUCUUAUGUCUUCUCGAAGAUUGAUCUCCAGUUAGGUUACCACCAGUUGAGGGUGAGAGCCGAGGAUGUUCCCAAGACGGCUUUUCGGACUCGGUACGGGCAUUAUGAGUUCACGGUGAUGCCUUUUGGAUUGACGAAUGCCCCUGCCGCAUUCAUGGAUUUGAUGAACAGAGUGUUCAAGCGGUUCUUGGACAGGUUUGUGGUAGUCUUCAUCGACGAUAUCUUGAUUUAUUCCCGGAGUGAUGCUGAGCAUGAGGAGCACUUGAGGAUUGUGCUAUAGCUUCUGCGCGAGAAGAAGUUGUAUGCCAAGUUAAAGAAGUGCGAGUUCUGGCUACGGGAGGUUGCUUUCUUGGGCCACGUGAUUUCAGCUGAGGGCGUAGCAGUGAACCCGAAGAAGAUUGAGGCGAUUCGAGAUUGGCCUAGACCGACGACGGUGACUAAGGUACGGAGCUUCCUGGGACUGGCAGGAUAUUACCGUCGAUUUGUGGAAAGCUUUGCGAAGCUUUCCACAUCCCUCACACGCUUGACGCGGAAGGGGAUUCGUUUUGUCUGGAGCGACGACUGUCAGAGGAGCUUUGACAAGUUGAGACUGAGGUUGACGUCGGCUCCUAUCCUUGCCCUUCCGGUGAUGGGGGAUGGAUUCGUGAUCUAUAAUGAUGCAUCGCACAGUGGACUUGGUUGCGUGCUGAUGCAGCAUGGUAGGGUGAUUGCUUAUGCUUCACGGCAGUUAAAGGAUUAUGAGAAGAAUUACCCUACGCAUGACUUGGAGCUUGCCGCGGUGGUUUUUGCUUUGAAGCUCUGGCGGCAUUACUUGUACGGCGAGCACUGCGAGGUCUUCACCGAUCAUAAAAGUCUCAAGUAUCUGUUCACACAAAGGGAGCUGAACCUGAGGCAGCGCCGGUGGUUGGAGUUACUGAAGGACUAUAACAUUAGUAUUCAGUGUCAUCCCGGCAAGGCGAAUGUUGUGGCAGAUGCGUUGAGCAGGAAGUCAGUGCAGAGCCUGAGUUUGAGGAUUACUGAGCAGAGACCCCUACUCGAGGAGCUACAGCGGCUGGGACUUGAGAUAGUACCCCCUGGGUCUAUGGCGAGGCUGACAUCUCUAGUUUUGCAGCCCACUCUGUUGGAUAGGAUCCGAGAAAAACAGAGUGGAGAUCCGUACUUGUUGAGGAUUAGAGAGCAGCUAGACAGGGGGCAGGCUGAGGGUUUUGCUUUGGACAGUUCGGGAGUACUACGGUACAGGCACCGACUGUGUGUGCCUGUGGAUUCUGAGAUCCGAACAGACAUUCCGAGAGAGGCUCAUUGUUCUCCUUAUACGGUCCACCCAGGUGGGACCAAGAUAUAUAAGGACUUAAAGGCACGGUUUUGGUGGAAUGGAAUGAAGAGGGACAUUGGCAGAUAUGUGGCUCAGUGUUUGACUUGCCAACAGGUGAAAGCCGAGCAUCAGGUACCUGCUGGCAAGCUUCAGAGUCUGCCAGUGCCAGAGUGGAAGUGGGAGUACAUCACUAUGGAUUUCGUUGUUGGAUUGCCUAGAGCGCAGGGUAGCUACGAUGCUAUUUGGGUGAUAGUGGACAGACUGACCAAGUCUGCUCACUUCCUACCGGUUCAGACUACCUGGUCCAGAGAGAGACUUGCGCAGCUAUACUUGGAUGAGAUCGUCAGGCUGCACGGCGUGCCAGUGUCGAUUAUGUCAGACAGAGAUCCGAGGUUUGUAUCUCAGUUUUGGAGGAGUCUUCGGACAGCCUUGGGCACUCAGUUGCAUUUUAGCACGGCGUUCCACCCACAGACAGAUGGUCAGUUAGAGCGGACCAUACAGACUCUAGAGGACAUGCUUAGGGCAUGUGUCCUGGAUUUUGGAGGAGGGUGGUAUCGACAUGUGAGACUGGUUGAGUUUGCGUACAACAACAGCUAUCAAACGAGCAUUCAGAUGGCUCCGUUUGAGGCGUUGUAUCGACGCAGAUGUCGAUCCCCCCUGUUUUGGAGCAAUGUGGGUGAGCGGAGGACACUUGGACCGGACAUUCUACUUGAGGCUGAGGAAAAGGUGAGAGUCGUUCGACGACACCUUCUGACAGUACAGAGCCGACAGAGGAGCUACUCCGAUACCAGGAGACGAGACUUGGAGUUUCAGGUUGGAGAUCAUGUUUUCCUCAAAGUCUCGCCGUCCAGAGGGAUACGCCGAUUUGGAGUACGUGGAAAGCUUAGUCCACGGUUUGUUGGCCCUUUCGAGGUAUUGGAGCGUAUCGGACCGGUUGCAUACAGGAUAGCUCUACCCCCGCGACUUGUUGGCAUCCACGAUGUUUUCCACGUCUCAGCAUUGAGGAGAUACGUCUUCGAUCCCACUCACAUGAUCGACUUCACUCCAUUGGAGAUCGGCGAGGAUCUGAGAUACGAGGAGCGACCGUUGCGGAUUCUUGCUCGGGAGACGAAAGAAUUGCGCAACCGGGUCAUCCCGUAUGUGAAGGUGCAGUGGAGCAAUCACGAGGAGCGGGAGGCGACUUGGGAGCCUGAGACGGUAAUGAGGGAGUCCUACCCCGACCUGUUCGAUGCCCCGUGUUGAGGUAUGUAUUAAGUUUCGAGGACGAAACUUUUUAUAGUGGGGGAGGAUGUAGUAUUCUGAUAUAUAUAUUUUUUUUUAGUUGGUAAGUUGGGUGGAUGGAAUGCCAUGUGCACCUAACCCCUCCCCCCCCCCCCCCCCCCCCCAAUGCAUGCUUAUCAACUUAGUUCACUCAGGUUGUACAUCUCUCUAAAUUAAUUUUCUUCUCCUCUCUCUCUCUCUAGCCGAUUGUGAGCAAGGAAGAGUUCGUGUGGAGCAUUUCGUUGUCGACAUCGCGCCGCGGAGCCGUCCGAGCAUAUGUGCGUCGCCGUAGUUUCGCGAGGAGGCCGGGCGAGGGAGUGUUUUCGUCGGUCUCGACGCCGUGCCGGAAUUGGAGUCGCUGGUUGAGGUGGGUAAUCUCUCAUUCCUCCAUGGAUUUCUUCUCUACUUCAAGCUUCAUUGAAUUCGAGCGCGAGGUGCUGUUUUCACUGAUUUCCAACGUCGACCGUCGACGUUUCGGCUCCCUCUCGACGUACGAGCAUCGGAUUUUGACGAGACUUGGUUUGUUGGAUUCGGGACUUCGAGAGGAAUCCACGAAGCCCUUGCUGGUUUUGGUGGAGGUUUUCUUGGUCGGAAUUAUUCUCUUCUCUGCUGCUGUUUUUGAGGCAGAAUCGGUGCUCAUUUUCGGAUUUUACGUGUAGAGUUUGGCGGGAGCGUGAUUUCUGGCCUUUGGAGGUUUGCGGAUUGAUCCAGCAGGGUGUUCCUUUGCUUCGGGACGUCCUCGCUGCUGGGGAUUAGCAACUAAGGUGGGUUAAUCAUCGGCUUAUACUCCUAAGUGCGCAAUAGUCAACAUGUGUAAUUUCAGAUUUUGUAUAGUUUACUUUAGCUCGAAUUCAUAGAUUAAUUUGUGAAUUACAAUCUGAAUUUGGAGCAUGUGUUAAUAAAUUAAGUAAUUUAUACAUGUUGGACUUGGAAUUUGACUUAGGAGAAAACAUGCGAUUUGGACCUGUCACUUGUUUAAACUGCCUGAUUUAGCUCUAGGAGCCGUUAUA
RNAcentral lists this long non-coding RNA (27945 nucleotides) under Ananas comosus (pineapple). RNAcentral's name for it is "long non-coding RNA (ACOM_LNC020821)". Lineage: Eukaryota; Viridiplantae; Streptophyta; Magnoliopsida; Poales; Bromeliaceae. The record is from RNAcentral.